RNAcentral lists this ribosomal RNA (306 nucleotides) under uncultured bacterium. RNAcentral describes it as "bacterial SSU rRNA". It matches the Rfam family "Bacterial small subunit ribosomal RNA", at positions 199 to 511 of the family's 1533-position model. The record is from RNAcentral.
GGGGAACAGAUUUAUCCGCUGAAGGAUCGGACCGCGUCUCGAUCUAGCUAGAUUGGUGAGGUCAACGGCUCACCAAGGCUACCGAUCAGUAGCUGGUCUGAGAGGAUGAUCAGCCUCACUGGGACUGAGACACGGCCAGACUCCAUACGGGAGGCAGAAGUGGGGAAUCAUUCGGACAAUCGGGCGCAAGCACUGAUCCAGCACAUGCACCCGUGGAUGAUGAAGGACCUAGGGUUGUAAAGUCCUUUCGGAGGGGAAGAUAACUCGACGGUACCCGAAGAAGAAGCCCGGAUAACUUCGUGCCAG